UACGUAGGGCGCAAGCGUUGUCCGGAUUUAUUGGGCGUAAAGAGCUCGUAGGCGGUCUGUCGCGUCGGCUGUGAAAACCCGAGGCUCAACCUCGGGCCUGCAGUCGAUACGGGCAGACUAGAGUGUGGUAGGGGAGACCGGAAUUCCUGGUGUAGCGGUGAAAUGCGCAGAUAUCAGGAGGAACACCGGUGGCGAAGGCGGGUCUCUGGGCCAUUACUGACGCUGAGGAGCGAAAGCGUGGGGAGCGAACAGG
This 253-nucleotide ribosomal RNA is filed under the name uncultured bacterium. RNAcentral describes it as "partial 16S ribosomal RNA". It matches the Rfam family "Bacterial small subunit ribosomal RNA", at positions 524 to 776 of the family's 1533-position model. The record is from RNAcentral.